UCAGACGAUGCGUCAUGCAUAUCAAUAAGCGGAGGAAAAGAAACUAACUAGGAUUCCCUCAGUAACGGCGAGUGAAGCGGGAAGAGCUCAAAUUUGAAAUCUUCAAGGUUCUACCUUGACGAAUUGUAGUUUAAAGAAGUGUUUUCUGUUGGAGUUUUGGUAAAAGUUCUCUGGAAUAGGACAUCAUAGAGGGUGAGAAUCCCGUAUUUGACCGUUAUUUCUAGCUUUGUGAUACACUUUCAAAGAGUCGGAUUGUUUGGGAAUGCAGUCCAAAAUGGGUGGUAAAUUUCAUCUAAAGCUAAAUAUUGGCGAGAGACCGAUAGCGAACAAGUACCGUGAGGGAAAGAUGAAAAGAACUUUGAAAAGAGAGUUAAACAGUACGUGAAAUUGUCAAAAGGGAAGCGUUUGACACCAGUGUUGUUUUCUCGAAAAUCAAUUAAAAAAGGCAGGAUUUUGUGUUGUAUUGACUUUAUCAGCUUUCUGCACUCUUUUCUUGUCUUUUUUUAAUGCACUUUUCGUUUAACAAGUCAACAUCAAUUUCUUUUGUUGUAAAAGGGUCAUUGGAAGGUGGCUUUCUUUUCGGAGAAAGUGUUUAUAGCCUUUGGCCUCUGCAAUCGGAGAGAUUGAGGUCUGCAGCGUAGAUCCUUCGGGGUUAGAUACAUUUGUGCUAAGUUAUAGCCUUUCAUAGACAACUUGUUGACUAUGAUCAGUCAUGUAGCUUACUCGCUUAUGCUAUUUUACCUACGCUUAGGAUGUUGAUCUACAGAGCGAGAGU
This 775-nucleotide ribosomal RNA is filed under the name uncultured Neocallimastigales. Its description in RNAcentral is "partial large subunit ribosomal RNA". It matches the Rfam family "Eukaryotic large subunit ribosomal RNA", at positions 18 to 625 of the family's 3401-position model. Lineage: Eukaryota; Fungi; Neocallimastigomycota; Neocallimastigomycetes; Neocallimastigales. The record is from RNAcentral.